AGUAACUCGGGGGCACAGGGCGGAAAGCAAGAGAUCCUCUUGCGAGUUCCGGCUUGGCGUCGCCAGGGUCUCUCGGCUGGGGCCUACCCCCAAAGCGAGGGAAAGCGGGGCGGCGGCGGGAGGGGNNNNNNNNNNNNNNNNNNNNNNNNNNNNNNNNNNNNNNNNNNNNNNNNNNNNNNNNNNNNNNNNNNNNNNNNNNNNNNNNNNNNNNNNNNNNNNNNNNNNNNNNNNNNNNNNNNNNNNNNNNNNNNNNNNNNNNNNNNNNNNNGACAAAGCGGCGACCGUCGGCUUUGGGCCUCGGGAAUCUUCCUGCGCUCGCCCCACUCGCCGCAGGUAAGGAUCCAACUUCAUCCUUUUACACGUGGACAUGCAGUUUACUCCGCAGCAUUUGUUGGAAAGACUGUCAUUUCCUCAUUGAAUGGUCAUGAUACCCUUACUGAAAAUCAUUUCACUGUAAAUGUGAGCAUUUGUUUCUGGAUGAUCUAUCUGUUCUGUUGGUCUGUAUGUCUUUAUGCCAGUACUACAUACGUAAUAGUAUGCCAGUACUAUUUUGAUAAUUGUAGCUUUGUAUUAAACUGAUGUUAAAUUAGCUCUUGAAGCUAGUAAUAUUUUGUACAUUUAUAUUCUGUGGUUCUGUUGUAUGUAUAUGCUGUUGAGAAAAUAAAAUAAAUUCAUUUAACUUCUAUACAUCUUGAUUGUGGAGAUGAUUACUCUGCUGUCUGAGUUUGUUAAACCUUAUGUAUGGAAUAGUACACCAGAGUCCAUUUUACUGCAUGUGAAAGUGAUAAAAUAGGUAAAAAAUAAUUGUAUCCAAGGCCAAUUAUCGUUUCUGCUUUUCUCAGCUCAAAUCAUUUUUUCCUUGUGAGUGAUUGUGAAGACACACCUUUAAAAAGUAUUCAAAGAACUUUGGUUAUAAUGUAUAUGUUGGAGGAUUUAAGUCUUACUAGUUCCUUCUGUUUUCUUUCUUUUUUUUCCUUCUUUUAAGAAAAAAAGUUAAAGUUGCGACUAGUGGCUCAGUCAGUUGGGCGUCUCCUUUGUCGUGGCACUGGGUGUGGUCCCAGGGUUCUGGGAUCCAACCCCUGCUCAGGGUGGAGCCUGCUUCUCCCUCUUCCUCUGUCCCUUCCCCCUGCCUUUGCUUGCGAGUGCACGAAUUCUCUUUCUUUCUCUCACUCCUGUGCGUACUCUCUGUCAAAUGAAUAAAAAAGAACAAUAAAAAACAACAACAACAACAAAAACAUAAGUUAAACACAUUAGGCAUCUGGGAGAGCCUCUCCGAGCAGCAAUUCCUAAAAUUCGGUCAGAUGCCAGUGUGCUAGCUUCCAGACCUUGAGGGUGUUGUUCCUGUAGUGUGUUCUUUAGCUUAGCCCCCCACAACGUGGGCCUGGCUUGAAGGUGAACAAUUUGCCUUGACUUGCCCUGCCUCAUGAUGUUUGUUCCCUUGCAAGAACACUAUACUAAAUUUAUGCAUUAUUGAAAGUUCAAAGUGUGCAGAAAUACCAUGCUUCAGAAUAAAACUUCAACAUUGCCCUUUCUCUCUUAGAGCCUCUAAAAUGUUCAUUAUUUUCAUCUUUAGUUUUUUUUCUAUAAUGCCAAACUUUUUCUCCAUGUGCAAGCAUGCCCCCAACCCCAUUUCUAAUGGAGCUUGAAAUUAACAUGCAUUUCUAUUUACUUGUUGAUGGACUGUCAUCUAUCAACCCCACUUUUUUUUUUUUAAAGAUUUUAUUUAUUUAUUUGACAGACAGAGAUCACAAGUAGGCAGAGAGGCAGACAGAGAGAGAGAGAGGAGGAAGCAGGCUCCCUGCUGAGCAGAGAGCCCGAUGUGGGACUCGAUCCCAGGACCCUGAGAUCACGACCUGAGCCGAAGGCAGAGGCUUAACCCUCUGAGCCACCCAGGCGCCCACAAACCCACUUUUUGAUUGUGAUUUAAUUUUUGCUUUUUCAGUGGCUCAGGGUUAUAGUAAUGCACAUAAUGUAAAUAUGAUUUGAAAGGCAGGUUGGAGUGUUAUAUUUAUUUGCUUAUUUAUUUAUUUAAAGAUUUUAUUUUAUUUAUUUGACAGAGAGAGUGACAACUAGAGAGGGAACACAAGCAGGGGGAGUGGGAGAGGGAGAAGCAGGCUUCCUGCCAAGCAGGGAGCCCAAUGCGGGGCUGGAUCCCAGGACCCUGGGAUCGUGACCUGAGCUGAAGGCAGACACUUAAUGACUGAGCCACCCAGGCGCCCCUUGAGUGUUACUUUAAGUGUUUGUAAUAAAGAUUGAUCAUUUGGAAUGUGAUGUAGUUUUUAAAAUUCCUUGUCAUCUGUCCCCUGUUACAGUUGUAGUAUAGGUAGAGCAGGAAUUACAUUGUGGAAGUUGUUAUGAUUUUAUGCUGUAACCUUUUUUUUUUUUUUAAGAUUUUAUUUAUUUAUUUGACAGAGAUCUCAAGUAGGCAGAGAGUCAGGCAGAGAGAGAGAGGAGGAAGCAGGCUCCCCGCCAAGCAGAAAGCCCAAUGCGGGGCUUGAUCCCAGGCGCGAUCUGAGCUGAAGGCAGAGGCUUAACCCACUGAGCCACCCAGGCGCCCCCCCCCUGCUUUUUUUUUUUUUUUGAAGAUUUCAGGGGCUUUAUAGAAGAAACAAACUCUCAUUUGCUUUAGAAGUUUUUAAUGAAUAAUGUAGUCCAAUAUAAUUUUGGUGUUAAGUAACUGGUCAUACUCCUUAAUUGCUAACUUAAAGGCUAGUUCUUUCCUGGAUUGCUUAGUUUGGCUACUGCCAUUUUAUUGUAGUGAGCUGUAGAUUUCCCUUGUUUUCUUAUUCUGAGAUUUGAUUAGUAAAUGUUGUCAUAAAUAAGUGAACCAUCAGUUGCAUUUUGAAAGUGUGUUAUUGCUAUGGUUUUUUGCUUAAUAUUUGGCAUUAUGAAUUGAAAAUGGGAGUUAGAAGCCUGUUAAUUAUCAGGUUACAUAAUCCUGUACUGGUUUAUUAACCAGGUAGGACUGCAGACUGUUCUUGAAAUUGAAAGUGCUAUCAUAACUCAGGAAAUGUGGCCCAUUUCAAGUGACAUGAAGGACAAGAGCCUUUGCUAAUAGUCCAUUUACCCUGUGCAGUUCUGAAAGAUGCUUUUCUUUCCAAGCAAACAUGUAUUAUUACUAUUCUCCCAUAGUGUGUUGAGUAUUUCAUUAUGUUAAAUAUUUCAAUGUUAAUCUAGACUCUUAAUCGUGGUUUGUGAAAAAUGAUAGUGUUGUGAAUAAGGCAGAAACUGAAAGGGUAAGUUAUUUGUCAGUGUUCAUGGGGUGUGCUCUUCUGGGGUUUGAUCUCUGAAUUGGCAAAGGUUUCUUAGAAUUCAUCUGUUAUCAUUUUCUUGCUUCCUUGGACCUGGGGUCAUCAUGUUCUCAGAAAAGCUGUAGUCUGACUUUGAAGUAUAUCUUUAGAAACCUGUCAUUUUGCAGAGAAGCUGCUAAAUGAAAUGUGAGCUUGAUCCCUUGGGAGGAGGGGGAAAAAAACCAAGGGAAUGGAAGAUGGCAAUAUCUGAGAGAAAUUUAAACUUCUUUCUAGUCAUUAAGAUCAGUGAAAGAUGGAAUGUUUUCUAGUUUGUCUUUUUUGAGGCAGGUCAAAGGCAACCUUUAGUUAGCUGUAUCUUAGUAACAGUGGGAAGCGUUCAGUUAAAUGCAGUAUACAUUUAUUCAAAGUCUGCCUUUCAAAGCAGGCGUUAGGAGAUGUUAAGAAUUUACAAGUCACCAUUGCUAACCUCAAGAGUUUACAAACUAAUGGGAUUAUUAGUCUAAGUAAUCACUGGUAGGUAAGAAUUAGGAAUCUAUAGUUUUGCUAAUUUAUAACACAUUUAAAAAAAAUUUAUUAAUUUUAUAGAGAAUUUGUGCCAGCGAGCAGGGGUAGGGGAGGACGGGUGGACAGAGAAUCUCAAGCAGAUGCCCCCCCCCCUGUCCCCGAGUGUGGAGCCCUACAUGGGGCUUGAUCCCAGGACCCCGAGACCAAAUUAAGACUUAAAAUCAGUGGGGCACUUAGGUGGCUCAGUGGGUUAAGCCUCUGCCUUCAGCUCAGGUCAUGAUCUCAGGGUCCUGGGAUCGAACUCCCUGCAUCAGGCUAUCUGCUCAGCAGGGAACCUGCUUCCCUCUUUCUCUCUGAUUGCCUCUCUGCCUACUGGUGAUCUCUCUCUCUCUCUCUCAAGUAAAUAAAAUCUUAAAAAAAAAAAAAAAAAAAAGUUAAAAUCAAGAGUCGGAUGCUUAACCGACUGAGCUGCCCAAGCACCCCGAGAAAAACAUUUAUUUCUUCCACAAGUGUCUGUUGCUAGAUGAAACCGGAAACUGUCAAGCCAGUUGUUGAACAUUUAUAGAAUGUUGUUAGGUGUAAAAUUACCAUACUCAAGAAAGCCAUGGUCACUGUGCUCAAAGGGAAGCUCCCAGUUUCCUGGGAAACAGAUGCACUGACCUAGCGCUAUAAUGGAGAUGCGUGUGAAGUGCUCGAGGGACUCAGAAAAGAGGUAACAGCUCUUUCUGUGGGAUUAGAGGAAAUAUGUGUGUCUUGAAGGAAGAUGGAAAAGUCAGGAAAGGUGCUCUGGCCUAGAGAGGGUUUAUAAAUAGGUCUGGACACAUGCAUGUGCAUUGGAGAAGUUUCACAGAGUGGAUGGAGGUGAUGAGUCUCAGGCUAGUGCCGUUCAAGUUUGUUUAUAGGAGUUUGGGCUUCAUCCUGUUUGUGGUGGGGAAGUAGUCCUCUUUUUUUUUUUUUUUUUUUUCAGGCGAGAGUAGACUUUAUGGUAAGUGAGGCAGUCUGGAUGAUGAUUGGAAAUGAGAAGAUAUAUAUGUAUAUUUUUUA
RNAcentral lists this long non-coding RNA (4799 nucleotides) under Mustela putorius furo (domestic ferret). RNAcentral describes it as "lncRNA (ENSMPUG00000024869.1)". Lineage: Eukaryota; Metazoa; Chordata; Mammalia; Carnivora; Mustelidae. The record is from RNAcentral.